This 3332-nucleotide long non-coding RNA is filed under the name Malus domestica (apple). RNAcentral's name for it is "long non-coding RNA (MDOM_LNC018997)". Lineage: Eukaryota; Viridiplantae; Streptophyta; Magnoliopsida; Rosales; Rosaceae. The record is from RNAcentral.
GUUCUUACUUGUUCUUAGCUAGGACAAAAAAUUUUCCUUCAGGCAUUGACAGUUCGUUAAGAUCAGUAUGUGCUAUGUCUUCUCUUAGGGAGAGUGACUGGUCUCAAGUCAUUGGUGUGACUGACAUCAAGACAAGCAUGUAGGUGCUCAAUGGAGAAUGAGUCCACUGAACACAAUCAACAAGGAGUUCUCAUACUCAUGUCACAUGAGAACUCAUGGUUGGGAUAAUGCAAAGUAAUCUUUUAACCUGAGGCAUCGUAGUUAUCUUGUGGUUAGGUCCUUGAUCUUUGACUAUAGCAAAGUCACUUUGUCAAAGGGUGUCCACAGCAUAGUUGGGGUCAAGCCACUCAGCCACAGAGGCAAGUGAAUCUGCAAUAAGGGAUCUCUAGCCUUCAAACCGUUUGAGGGAGGAUACUCUAUAAUAUGAUUAAGAAUCUCUGGCUAGAGUCUAAAUGAGAUUUAGGAAGUCGUUCCAAAUCACAUUCAAGGAAAUCAUAUAGGUAAGAGAAUCACAUUGGAUAGUAGACAUGAAUAAACUAUCAAACCAAACAAUGUGGUCAAGAUUAUUGUAUUAGAGAAAGACCAUAUUGCAUUGUAAUCCUAAACUGAAUAGGUUCUCCACCUCUUCUGAUUAGCUUGGAUAGCCAUGACAUACUGCUAUGUGUCACUUAUGGUUUGUGGAAGCCCUAAAGGUGAGUAAUCACUAAGGGGAGAAUUGAAAGUAAGUUUCAAUUCACAAUUGAUUUGAAGAGUUCUAAUUGCCCACAACCUCGCUAAAAGGAAUUUAAUGGAUCAUACACCGAGUAAGGUAGAGAUUGAAGAAACAACGGAGAUGAGUAAGGAUAAUUAAAUGGUUUAAUUAUUUAUGGCUAGGAUUAAAUAAUAUGUUAAGUAAUCAAACGAAUAUGUUCGUUAUAGACCUCGGGUUAGUUUUGGGCCGCAAGGCCCAAUAAGAUUUGAAUGCUAAGCCCAUUAACUCAAGUUGUAUGACAACUUGAAAACACAAAGGGCUUGAAAGCCCAAUGAACCCUUAAGGCCGGCCACAUUAGAGGAUGAAGGGUUUUGGUUCUUUUGUCACUUAAUUGAAGGGACUAUAUAAAGAACUUUAUAACAUUUCAUCAUUAGGGUUUCUUUUGGAGAAACGAUGAGAACACAAAGCUCUCUUUUCUCUCUAAGAGGCUGGCCACCCUAAAGGAACAUAGCUAGCAAUCUUCCUUCCUCUAGGUCACUCAUCUCUUCAUCAAUGCUCUCCUUGGUGUGGAGACUCAAAGGUUCUCUAUUUUAGGAACUUGGAGAAUCAAUUCAUCCAUCCUCCACCAAGAAAUCCAUGGAGCUAAGAAGUAAGGAAUGAAGGCUCUCUCUUUUGGGUGAUUAGCCUUUGCUGCAAAGAAGAAUCAACGAAGGCAUAAUUUUCUGAACUCACUUUGUUCUUGAGUUGAGUCUUGGUUCACCAUAACUACUAGGCUUUGAAUUUCAUGAGUUAAGUUUUGUUUUUGAGUGCAUAUAAGCAUGAUUCCGCCUUUUAAUUGUUAAUAGCAUGCAUAGAUGUUGCUCAAAAGUGGUUUGGCUGAAAAACGGCUUGAAAGUGGACCGCGAUGAUUUAGCCAUCGAGAAAGGUACCAUUCUCUUUGUCUCAUUGAUAAGUAUGAUUUUUGUUUUUUAAUCACUCGAUUUCGUUGAGUGUUGAAGGAGUUAUGAACGUUUAAAAUUAACCCAGUUUCUUGCGAGUUUUCCAGUUUUCCCUCGGACCGGUCACCUUUUAGGCUGUUCUCCGGCCAUCUCCGAUAACCAUUUGCCUUCCAAAUAGGUAUAAUCUUGUUCUACACGUUCCUAUCUUCAUUUUGAUAUAUUAUGGGUCGAAUUUGGUUAAGAAACAAUUUAGUUACGAAACUUUGAAAAUUGCCCAAACUUCCGGCCAAGAACUUCGGGACACUUAACGGAGUUUUUAACGGAAGAACCAAAAUAAUGGAUGGUGGACAACCUCAAAGACCAUUUCUAUUGAUUUUCAAUCUUAGGGACCAAAGUGAUGUGUUAUGCAAAUCUCAGGGACCAUUUUGGCUAAAAAGCCUUAAUAUUGUUAGAGUUGUGAGGGCUGGAUUCUAUUAACAGCCCUAAAACCUUAGGGGUCUGGCUAGUAUUUGAAAAUUACCUUUCCAAGUUUGUGGGUUGGGCAUUAGUUAUUUUUAUACCUUUGUCUCUCCUUCACAUGUUUAAGAACUAAUGGAGUUCCUUGAAAUAUAGUGCAAGUUUUUGUCUUUAUAUGUAAAGCUCACAAAAGUUUAAUAUGAUAGAAUAAAAAAAUAAAAAAAACUAUAACUUUCUUUCUCUCCCAUCCUUCCUCUCUGUUGCCCCUCUCUCUUCACGCCUCGCCAUCAUCUCUCUCUCCUCUUUCACCUAUCAGUAUCAUCUAUCUUCUCUUUCACCCAUCACCAUCAUUUCUCCUUCUCUCUCUCAUGUCACGCAUUCCUCCCUCUCUUUUUUUGUUAGGUAUAUAAUUUUAAAAUUAAUCAUAUUUUUUAAGACAGAAUAAUAUGAAUUAUUUAUCACAUGUCAAAAUUCAACAAAUUAUUAUCAACAAAUUUUUAAUACAGUAGGGCCCCGUUUGUUAGGCCUCCUUAGUGGGGAUUGGCUUAGCUAGGACAACAAUCCCAUGUUUGGCGUAAGAAGGGACUAGCAUAAAUGACGCUAAGUCCGACUCGUGCCAACUAAACGCCUCACUAAGUUGCAUUAGCAAAUCUGUAGUGAACGCUUGGUAUUGGCUAGGACUAUCCUCGCUUACAACUUCAUGCUUUUGCAUAUAACAGCGUUCGUCGUAGUCCUCUACCGCCGACUCCGACAUCGUCAACUCCUUUAUGAUCUCCUGCAAAACCAGGUCAGAUUGAGAGUACUCACUUACACCCCAAAUUUGAAACCCAUCAGCCAUCUACUUUUUUCACUUGAGUGUACUUAUUUACACAUAGCCUGUCGUACAGACCACAAUAGGUGGUUCCAACUUAUGUGCAGGAAUUGGUUUAUGAGCUAUAGGUUCAACCGUACAGGUCACAUUAAGUGACUCCGGCGACAUAUCAAAUGGCUACAAACAGGGGUCCACUUUAAAAGUUAUAAUAACUUUAGCUUUUGGAUCAAAUUUUAACGACACAAAUUCCCUGAUUUAGUGUAUUAGAAGGAAGAAAUCCGAAGAUGAUCCCCUUCCCAAAAUAAGUACCUUUAAACCAUGGCUCCUAGAAUGCAUAGACAUGUAUAUUACAUACAUGUCUUACAAAACCCCUAAACUGUAUGUAUGUCAGUUGUCGGUAAUAUUAUUAUACAUAUACUAAAACUCAACAUAAAAU